Gekko japonicus is the source of this 1235-nucleotide long non-coding RNA. RefSeq lists it as uncharacterized. The record is from RefSeq and is a predicted model, not a curated record. NCBI's taxonomy places the organism in Eukaryota, Metazoa, Chordata, Lepidosauria, Squamata, Gekkonidae. The transcript is spliced from 3 exons.
AUAGUCAAGCACGGGAAGCCAUUCACAGAUGGAGAGUAUAUAAAAGAAGCAUUCAUUAAGAUUUCGGAACAUCUAUAUGUGGACUUCAAAAACAAGAAUGAAAUUGUGCAGAAAAUCAAAGACAUGCCUCUCUCUGAUGUGCAGACACUGUGCACUGAGGUUCGGGAGCAAAAAUCCCAUUAACCAGAUUGACAGCUGACUGCACGAUCCUGUAUAUAGCAUUAAGGAGAAUAACAUGGGCAGAUAUUUGGUAAAGAAGAGCUCUUUAAAAGAGCUCCAGGAAAGUUUGCAAGCAACUUUUGUAACUGGGUUGAGCCAAUUACAGAACAGCCUAACCCAGAUAACAACUCAGAUUAAAGAUAUAAAUGAUUAAAUGGAGGAUUUCCAAAACCAUUUUAAGGAAAAUAAACAAGAAACCACCAAAUUAGCGAAGGCUAUAAAAAAAACCUGACAAGAGCAGAAAAGACCCAACAGAAAGUAAAAGAAGUGGUAGAAGCACAACAGCUGUCAGAUGACAGAAUGAUUAAGCUGGAAAUGGAUAGAGCAGCCUAUAUGCUGAGGUUCCAGAACAUCCCAGAGGAUAAGGAAGAGGACUUGUCCCUUUUAUUAGCACAAUCACUUGCAUUAGAAAUGGAGGUCAAAAUUGAUGAUCUUCAAAGAGAGAUAGACUUGAUUUACAGAGUAAAUUCAAGCUAUGCUAGAAAGAACAAAGUAUCAAGAGAGGUUCACGUGAAAUUUACUAAAAGAGCAGUGCGAGAUGAGGUGCUGAGGGGAAUGAGAGACAAAGACCUGACUAUAAAAGGAAAUGUGAUUAUAUUUUGAAAGAGGUACCAUGGAGGAUGAGACAGAAGAGGAAAGAAUAUGAAUAUCCCUCUCAUCAGUAUUGAAAGCCAAUGAUAUUUCUUAUAGAUGGCUGAUACCUGAAGGUCUCUUCUUUUCAUAUGAAGGCCAGAGAUACAGAAUAAACUCAACACUGAAAGCGCAAGACUUUUUGAAGAAAUAUGGAAAGAGACUUUCAUCUAAUAGGGAAGAGUCCAAGGAAGAGGAAUCAGAUAAAGAGAAAGAAGAAGAUUCAGAGACUCAGUCACAGGACAGCCUGGAAUCAGAAACGAAUUUAGAAGAAGAGGCCAAAGCAGCACUAAGAAUGGAAAUAAGAAGACAGACCAAACAUAAACAAGCUGAUAGUAAAGUAAAGACAUGUGAUGGAUAGAGAACAAAUUAGAAUCCGUACAAUC